RNAcentral lists this ribosomal RNA (228 nucleotides) under uncultured bacterium. RNAcentral's name for it is "partial 16S ribosomal RNA". It matches the Rfam family "Bacterial small subunit ribosomal RNA", at positions 568 to 795 of the family's 1533-position model. The record is from RNAcentral.
UCCGUAGGCGGGCAAUUAAGUCAGAGGUGAAAUCCCACAGCUCAACUGUGGAACUGCCUUUGAUACUGGUUGUCUUGAGUUAUAGUGAAGUAGAUAGAAUAUGUAGUGUAGCGGUGAAAUGCAUAGAUAUUACAUAGAAUACCGAUUGCGAAGGCAGUCUACUAACUGUAUACUGACGCUAAUGGACGAAAGCGUGGGGAGCGAACAGGAUUAGAUACCCUGGUAGUC